UACGGGGGGAGCAAGCGUUGUUCGGAUUUACUGGGCGUAAAGGGCGCGUAGGCGGCCACCGCAAGUCAAUUGUGAAAUCUCCGGGCUUAACUCGGAAAGGUCAACUGAUACUGCGGGGCUAGAGUGCGGAAGGGGCAACUGGAAUUCUCGGUGUAGCGGUGAAAUGCGUAGAUAUCGGAAGGAACACCAGUGGCGAAAGCGGCUUCCUGGUCCAGCACCGACGUUCAGGCACGAAAGCGUGGGGAGCAAACAGG
This 254-nucleotide ribosomal RNA is filed under the name uncultured bacterium. Its description in RNAcentral is "partial 16S ribosomal RNA". It matches the Rfam family "Bacterial small subunit ribosomal RNA", at positions 524 to 776 of the family's 1533-position model. The record is from RNAcentral.